RNAcentral lists this long non-coding RNA (206 nucleotides) under Elaeis guineensis (African oil palm). RNAcentral's name for it is "long non-coding RNA (EGUI_LNC023648)". The record is from RNAcentral. Lineage: Eukaryota; Viridiplantae; Streptophyta; Magnoliopsida; Arecales; Arecaceae.
AACACUCUUUUUGUGACUUAUGUCAGGAUGAUGCUGAGGACCUUCAACACUGUAUAGUUUCUUGUCCUUAUAUGGCUGAGAUUUGAUUGAAUCUUAAGAGAACAUAUCUUUCACCUUACAAUGUCAGCUCUCUGGAUGAUUUAGUCAAUCUCUCUACCAAUCCCACUAUUCCUCAUCCUCACAAUUUCAUUAUUUGCUAUAUAGCC